UUCUUCUUCCUUUAUAGUACAGGCCUCCCAGGGGAGUAUUAUCGUACUGUUUUAAGUACAUGUUCGAUGUGAGAACAACAAAUGUGCGGUAAGUGCGGAUUAUCUACAGUGAAAACGGUGAUUCUUUAAAAUAACGAUAAAAACAAGGUUGUACAUCUAUCGAAGCUGGACCACUUGCACACCCCUUUUGAAUGAUUCAAGAGUUGUGCAGCUUACUAUGUGUUGUGGUAGUCCAUUCCAGAUUCUGAUGGUAUCUGGGAAAAACGAGUGACGAUAUACUUGAGUCCUGGCAUAAGGAACGAGGAAUCGUUCAUUGUGUCCUCUUACUGUUGAUAUUACUG
This 341-nucleotide long non-coding RNA is filed under the name Mytilus galloprovincialis (Mediterranean mussel). Lineage: Eukaryota; Metazoa; Mollusca; Bivalvia; Mytilida; Mytilidae. The record is from RNAcentral.